GGUGCACAUGUCAAGAUCGAAGAAGACUUUCUGAACUCUGGUCGGACAGGCCGUCGAAAUGCCAUACCUGAUAUUUAUUGCCCACAGUCAAGAGUCUCAACGGCAGAACUACCCACAAAUUUUGCCAGACUGUCUUGUGAAGAGUCUGGCCAAACCCAAGUGUCAUCAAGCACUAAUCUGGGGCCCAACUCCUGAUAGAAUGACUCCAAUUUCCUCAGAUACUCAUUCUUUGCAAGAAGUGAUCCACUAGAUUACACAGUAUCCCAUCUUUGCUUUCACAAGUUGUUUUACUUUCAUUCUUCAGUACUUAUAUUGAAUGUUGGGUUAUCAAUCCCGCUGCUAGUUUUUUUUUUUACUUUGUUUUUUAACACUUUUGUCAAAUCAAUACACACUUGUCAAUAAUGAGGUGGUACUUACUAGAAUUUGUAAAUCUCCUUAGCAUUUGUAUCUUACUUUACGAAAAUAAUUGGUUCAUUUACGUUAAUGGCUUCUGAGAGACGAAAUGGGUCGAUUGUAAAUCUCUUCGCCGAUCAAUAAUUGGUAAACGAAACUCGGAAGAGUAACUUAAGAAGAAGAAAAAGAGAUCUUAUUCUCGAACGGAACCGUUGAUAAAUCUAAAAGCUAUUUUCUCAUUUCGACAGCAAGAGUUUCGACAUAUUCUUGUUAUUAUUUCUUCGAUUUGGUUCAAAGAGAUCGUGUUUACAUCAUGUGACGAAACACUCCGAUCGAUCGAAUGUUUUAUCGCCUGAAUGCAAGCUCGUGUUUUCUUGCUUCUUCUUCUUCAAUGUGUGUGUUUGACUCCUUCUUUCGGUAGUCUGACGUUAAAACGCCUUUUAUCAGACCUCAAGGAACAUGUACGCGUCAAGCAGCCUGGAACUUAAAGAUUGCUUAAAGAGUCGGUUUGCGUAUUGAUUAUUCAGGCUGUCCUAGUUGCCGUUGGUGUGGUAUGCUGUAAGAUUAAGUCUUAAAUUCACGAUCAUGGGUCUCUUAUUUCCUACUCAAAUCUCAGCUCAAUGAUCCUGUGACGUCAGCGUCGGCCAUCAAUAACUACGCUUGCUUUAGUACGUUGAACGCGUGAAGCCUCAACUUAUUGAUUGUAGCUACACUCUUUCAUCUUCUCUACACACACACCCUCUGUGCGUUUAUUGUUUCUUUGAUCGCUCGAUCCCAAAUUCCACCUUGCAUUCUAGGACGCUUGUAUAGCUUAAGAUUCUUCUUCUUACCUAGUACCUCUAAUUAACUUCGUUAACUUACACGGUAGUACUCUUCAUCCAAAAGCGUUUCGUAAUCUAGUCCUUGUCGAUGCCUUGUGAAGGCGUGUAACUAGUAAAAUGAUUAAUGACUCGUAAAACUACUGAUUAUUUUCUCGAUAAUCUGGAGCUAGAUUUUUUAUUGGAAACGUUUGCCUUCAGUUUGAAUUAUCAAUCGUUGUGUCCAUUAUUUUACUUUUAUAAGAAAGCAAUCAUUCAGUCUAUUGUAAAGUUUGGUAUUUCUUUAAAAGAAUUUAUAAGGUGAACAAAACGUUGUCUUUGUGACGGGUACGAUGAUUCGGUUUACAAAGAGAUCAGCAACUCAUUAGGCUUCAAAGAAAUUUAGUGUUUUGAAGUUAUAAAAAGAUCUUUUGAUAAGUCUAACAAUCAACCACUAAUUUUUUUUUAUUCUUCUGGCAAUUGUAAUCGUGACCCUAAUACGGUAAAUAUAGGCAUGCUUGCAAAGCAGCUGAGGCUCGAGUAGUUUUUAAUGAAAGAACAUGUUUGCUUAUGGCCGUUUCAGCAGCGAGAGGUGCAAUCCACAAUGGUUACGUGUAUAGAAGAUAACUAGGAUGCGCAUGUCAGACAGUCAGAGGUAGGAAUCAUUCAAAAUUUCAAGUGUGUUACUGCUUAUGUGGAUUACAUACUAGUAUAUUAAUAGAGAGGGGGAGCCUUGAGAUGCAUUCAACAAACAAUGCCAGCCAAACAAUGAACAAGAUCAUGCAUACAGCUUCCAACCCUAAGGAUUCGUCUUGUUUAACUUGCCUUCUACGUGCAUAUGUGGUAAUAAACCCUGAAUCGGCCCUUAGCUCGAGUGGGACUUCAGAACGAUAUUGCCCGGUAAAUUAAACGCUAACUAAACAGUCACGAAGUUUGAAGAACCCCAAGUUAACACAUUUUUCAGAUCGAUAAAAAUGUUCUGUAUUCAAAGUAGAUAACUCUUCUUGGGAUACAUACAUAUAGUGUACUGGCUCACUUUUCUUUUAUGCUACGUGGGCGAAGUAAGUUUUCUGUAUGCGAUUUUAAGUAGAAUUUCCUAGAAAGGUUAUUCCGAAAAGAACAUUUUAGAGUUCUUCCAGGUCACAAUAGACAGACAAGAACAAAGUUUUAAGCUCGACGAGAAUAACAUAGAAAUGCCAGUAAACUAAUUACGGUACCGAAAAUGGCAGUUUUAUUCAUCGCGUAGGUCGUGGCAAACUUCCUAUUUUAAAAGCUUUCCGUUAAAAUGACUAAAUGAGCAAUUUCACUCCCCAAUAUUGAUUUUCUGUUUAUUGGAUUUUUCAAAAAUAGGGGAAAUCCCAUUAAUUAACGAAAUUGGGUCCUAGCACUAAUGAUGGGAAAUGUAAAGACAAACUGUGUUACGAAACGCGGUGAGUAUCAUUGAAGCUGUUGAAACACCACCGCGACCUAAUCGAAUCGGUAAUAUAAUAAGGAUCUUUAAGUAAAAAUCCUUGUUGAAUCCUUACACGAAAGGUGGUGAUUGUUUUCCUUUGAAAGCAGACACGGGUUAUUCAAACAAAGGAAGAAACCUUACGACCGAAUUAACCAGUUUCAAGACUAUCCCUGUCAAUAAACCUCGUUUCACGAAAUUACUUUCCUUGAGCGUGUGCACUAUUGUACACGAAACAGGAUACAACACGAAAGGAGCGAAUCAUAAAAAGACCAUAAUAUCUGAUAAAAUUCACAAUAAGAAGAAAUAGGUUAUCUGUUAAUUUAAUUUGAUACCACAGUAACAUCCGGUAACAUCCAA
Long non-coding RNA from Daphnia pulex (common water flea), 3000 nucleotides. RefSeq lists it as uncharacterized. The record is from RefSeq and is a predicted model, not a curated record. The transcript has 3 exons. Lineage: Eukaryota; Metazoa; Arthropoda; Branchiopoda; Diplostraca; Daphniidae.